This 315-nucleotide ribosomal RNA is filed under the name uncultured Succinivibrionaceae bacterium. Its description in RNAcentral is "partial 16S ribosomal RNA". The record is from RNAcentral. Lineage: Bacteria; Pseudomonadati; Pseudomonadota; Gammaproteobacteria; Aeromonadales; Succinivibrionaceae.
GGAGUCUGGGCCGUGUCUCAGUCCCAAUGUGGCUGAUCAUCCUCUCAGACCAGCUAGAGAUCGUCGCCUAGGUGAGCCUUUACCUCACCUACUAGCUAAUCCCGUUUGGGCACAUCUGAUAGCGCAUUGCUGCUUUCACCCUCAGGCUUUAUGCGGUAUUAGCAGUCGUUUCCAACUGUUGUCCCCCUCUAUCAGGUAGUUUCCCAAAUGUUACUCACCCGUCCGCCACUCAGUCACAAAGUCGUCACCCCGAAGGGAUCGUAACAAAGUGCUUCGUUCGACUUGCAUGUGUUAGGCACGCCGCCAGCGUUCAUC